Molecule: ribosomal RNA, 1884 nt
Filed under: Triticum aestivum (bread wheat)
Lineage: Eukaryota; Viridiplantae; Streptophyta; Magnoliopsida; Poales; Poaceae
Description: partial small subunit ribosomal RNA
Source: RNAcentral
AUGGCCUCCGCCGCCGCCCCCGCCUCGGAGGCCGUCAAGGCGGCGAAGGUUCUGAUGGUCGGGGCUGGAGGCAUCGGGUGCGAGCUCCUCAAGACCCUCGCGCUCUCGGGCUUCAGCGACAUCCACGUCAUUGACUUGGACACAAUUGAGGUCAGCAAUCUGAACAGACAGUUUUUGUUUCGGAAGAGUCAUGUGGGACAGUCAAAAGCCCAUGUUGCCCGUGAUGCUAUUCUGAAAUUUAGGCCAAAUAUCAAUAUAGAAUCACACCAUGCAAAUGUUAAGGAUGCCCAGUUCAACGUUGACUUUUUCAAGCAGUUUAAUGUAGUUUUGAAUGGCCUUGAUAACUUGGAUGCUAGACGACAUGUGAAUCGCCUCUGCCUUGCUGCUGAAGUUCCUUUGGUUGAGAGUGGGACCACUGGGUUUCUCGGACAGGUUACCGUUCAUGUCAAGGGUAAAACAGAAUGCUAUGAAUGCCAACCUAAGCCUAUCCCAAAAUCAUAUCCAGUCUGCACAAUUACAAGCACUCCAUCAAAGUUUGUCCAUUGCAUUGUUUGGGCAAAGGAGCUUCUUUUUGCUAAGCUAUUUGGUGAUAAGAACCAAGAUAAUGACCUUAAUGUGCAUUCAAAAGAUGGCAGCAGUUCAAAGUUAGAUGUAUUUGAAAGGGAUGUUGACGAAGAUCUUGAUCAGUAUGCUCAGAGGAUUUAUGAUCAUGUAUUUGGUUAUAAUAUCGAAGUUGCCUUAGAGAAUGAAGAAACCUGGAAGAAUCGGAGAAGACCAAAUCCAGUAUACAUUAGAGACACAUUACCUGAAGCAGUAAAGCAAAAUGGUAGCUCGUGGGAUUGCAGUAAUGAUCAUGAAGAGCCUUCUGCUAUGGCAUCUUUAGGUCUUACAAAUCCUCAAGAGAUAUGGACUCUGGCUGAAAAUUCAAGAGUGCUUUUGGAGGCUUUUAAAUUGUUUUUUGAGAAAAGAGAGAAGGAAAUAGGGAACUUGGUUUUUGACAAGGAUGACCAGUUAGCAGUUGAGUUUGUUACUGCUGCGGCUAAUAUCAGAGCUCACUCUUUUGGUAUACCACUACAUAGCCUAUUUGAAGCUAAAGGUGUUGCUGGAAACAUAGUUCAUGCUGUGGCAACAACAAAUGCUAUAAUAGCUGGUCUCAUUGUUAUCGAAGCAAUCAAAGUUCUCCAGGAUGAUUACAAGAACUACAGAAUGACAUAUUGUCUUGAACAUCCUACAAAGAAGUUGCUCCUGAUGCCUGUAGAACCUUUUGAACCUAAUCCAUCAUGCUAUGUCUGCUCUGAGACCCCUCUUCUGCUGGAUGUUAACACUAAGGUCACAAAGCUUAAGGAGGUUAUCGACAAGAUUAUAAAAAGCAAACUUGGAAUGAACCUACCGUUGGUAAUGAUUGGCUCUACACUUGUUUUUGAGGAUGGCGAUGGCUUAGAGGAAGACGAGGCUGCAAACUAUGCUUUAAACCUUGAGAAGGUCUUGGCCGAACUGCCAGCUCCAGUUAUUAAUGGUACAAAGCUUACCGUUGAGGAUUUCCAGCAGGAGCUGUCAUGCAGCAUUAACAUCAAGCACAGGGAAGAGUUUGACGAGGAGAAAGAGCCUGACGGAAUGGUUUUAUCUGGAUGGUCAGCUCCGGUGGAGAAACAGAUUAAUAGUAAUGGGGAGAACAAAUCGGCAGCCUCUUCAUCCAGUGCGCGUGCCACUGAUGACACUGUUGAGGAUCCAUCUAAACCUGGGAUGAAGCGCAAGCUGGAUGAACUGUUGGAAACAAAGGAAAACUGUGAUGCAUCCAGUAGUGCUCAGGUUGUUGAAGACGACGAUGAUUGUACGAUGCUCGACGGGAACCCAGCGUUAAUCAAGAAAAAGAGAUUGCAAUAG